UGUAGCUGUCAAAAUAAUGGGUAAUUCAAAAUUUUCAAUAAAGGGUAAUAUGUGCCCAUUUACAAGUAUGCUGAGGUUACCCUUUAAUGGGUGAAAAUUGUCUUUCGCAUGAUUAUUGAUAAAACCGGCAUCUGUGUGACCUGAAGCAGUCUGUUUAUAUGAAGAGAUGGUGCGAAACAUUAAAAACGAGCUGCGUAUAAUCAGCUUAAAAUAACGUCCGGACGCCUGAUUCCCGAACAACUCGAGUGAAGGACGAAACUACUGUGCCAUGAUGUUCCAGGGAGAAAAGUUGUUCAUUAGGAUCCAGCCAAUGUCAUUAAUCUUCGCCCGCCCUGAGAUGAUGUGUUUGUUUCGAGUAUUAUUAUUUUCAUUGGUGAAUAAAGUUAAAUUACGUGUCAAUC
Long non-coding RNA from Aedes aegypti (yellow fever mosquito), 401 nucleotides. RefSeq lists it as uncharacterized. The record is from RefSeq and is a predicted model, not a curated record. The transcript is spliced from 2 exons. Lineage: Eukaryota; Metazoa; Arthropoda; Insecta; Diptera; Culicidae.